RNAcentral lists this ribosomal RNA (495 nucleotides) under uncultured bacterium. RNAcentral describes it as "partial 16S ribosomal RNA". It matches the Rfam family "Bacterial small subunit ribosomal RNA", at positions 28 to 507 of the family's 1533-position model. The record is from RNAcentral.
GACGAACGCUGGCGGCGUGCCUAAUACAUGCAAGUCGAACGCUGAAGGAGGAGCUUGCUCUUCUGGAUGAGUUGCGAACGGGUGAGUAACGCGUAGGUAACCUGCCUGGUAGCGGGGGAUAACUAUUGGAAACGAUAGCUAAUACCGCAUAAGAGUAGAUGUUGCAUGACAUUUACUUAAAAGGUGCAAUUGCAUCACUACCAGAUGGACCUGCGUUGUAUUAGCUAGUUGGUGGGGUAACGGCUUACCAAGGCGACGAUACAUAGCCGACCUGAGAGGGGGAUCGGCCACACUGGGACUGAGACACGGCCCAGACUCCUACGGGAGGCAGCAGUAGGGAAUCUUCGGCAAUGGACGGAAGUCUGACCGAGCAACGCCGCGUGAGUGAAGAAGGUUUUCGGAUCGUAAAGCUCUGUUGUAAGAGAAGAACGAGUGUGAGAGUGGAAAGUUCACACUGUGACGGUAUCUUACCAGAAAGGGACGGCUAACUACGUG